RNAcentral lists this long non-coding RNA (304 nucleotides) under Mytilus galloprovincialis (Mediterranean mussel). The record is from RNAcentral. Lineage: Eukaryota; Metazoa; Mollusca; Bivalvia; Mytilida; Mytilidae.
AAAUCAAAAAAUAGUUCGAUUGUGUGUUUUCAAGAGACACACAGUACAAGAGAUAUUGAAACUUUAUGGGGGGAUGAAUGGGGUCAUCAGUGUUACUUCAGUCAUGGUGAUAGUAGAAGUGCUGGAGUUUGUGUCAUGUUCAGGGGUGGUUAUGAUUACGAAGUUCAUGAAUCUCUUUAGACCAACAUGGAUGAUACAUCAUAUUAGACUUGACUCUAUACGAUCAAAGAUUAACUUUGGUAUGUUUAUAUGGUUAUAACAAAGAUAAACCAGAAUUUUUCUGUGAUAUCCUACAGAAAACUAC